CGACCUAAUGAUGUAGACAUUUAUGAAGUAGAUCCCUGAAAUGCUCUCAGGUCUCAAAGAAAAGUUUUCUAUCCAUUUGUGUGAAACUUGUGAUUGCCCUUCCGAGUUG
Small nucleolar RNA from Malania oleifera, 109 nucleotides. Lineage: Eukaryota; Viridiplantae; Streptophyta; Magnoliopsida; Santalales; Ximeniaceae. The record is from RefSeq and is a predicted model, not a curated record.